CGGGGGGCAGCAGUGAGGAAUUUUUCGCAAUGGGCGCAAGCCUGACGGAGCAAUACUGCGUGGAGGAUGAAGGCUCGUGGGCUGUAAACUCCUUUUCCUCGAGAAGAAGUUCUGACGGUAUCGGGGGAAUAAGCAUCAGCUAACUGCGUGCCAGCAGCUGCGGUAAUACGUGGGAUGCAAGCGUUAUCCGGAAUUAUUGGGCGUAAAGCGUCUGUAGGUUGCUUUGCAAGUUUGUUGUUAAAUCAUUCAGCUUAACUGAAUUCCAGCAACAAAAACUAUAAAGCUUGAGUUCGGUAGAGGAAGAGGGAAUUCCCUGUGGAGCGGUGAAAUGCGUAGAGAUAGGGAAGAACACCAAUGGCGAAAGCACUCUUCUGGGCCUGAACUGACACUGAGAGACGAAAGCUAGGGGAGCGAGUAGGAUUAGAUACCCGAGU
RNAcentral lists this ribosomal RNA (434 nucleotides) under uncultured prokaryote. Its description in RNAcentral is "bacterial SSU rRNA". It matches the Rfam family "Bacterial small subunit ribosomal RNA", at positions 342 to 791 of the family's 1533-position model. The record is from RNAcentral.